GACGAACGCUGGCGGCGUGCUUAACACAUGCAAGUCGAACGGAAAGGCCCAGCUUGCUGGGUGCUCGAGUGGCGAACGGGUGAGUAACACGUGGGUGAUCUGCCCCUAACUUCGGGAUAAGCUUGGGAAACUGGGUCUAAUACCGGAUAGGACAAUCGUUUAGUGUCGAUUGUGGAAAGUUUUUUCGGUUAGGGAUGAGCCCGCGGCCUAUCAGCUUGUUGGUGGGGUAAUGGCCUACCAAGGCGUCGACGGGUAGCCGGCCUGAGAGGGUGGACGGCCACAUUGGGACUGAGAUACGGCCCAGACUCCUACGGGAGGCAGCAGUGGGGAAUAUUGCACAAUGGGCGCAAGCCUGAUGCAGCGACGCCGCGUGGGGGAUGACGGCCUUCGGGUUGUAAACCUCUUUCGACAGGGACGAAGCUUUGGUGACGGUACCUGUAUAAGGAGCACCGGCUAACUACGUGCCAGCAGCCGCCGUAA
This 480-nucleotide ribosomal RNA is filed under the name uncultured bacterium. RNAcentral describes it as "partial 16S ribosomal RNA". It matches the Rfam family "Bacterial small subunit ribosomal RNA", at positions 28 to 523 of the family's 1533-position model. The record is from RNAcentral.